AAAAUUUGUUAGAGAGAAGUGCUAAGAUGCAGCUGCUGGAUGGUUCUGUUAUACAGCUGGAUGAUAACUCAAGAAGCCUUAUUUUAAUUGCCCUUCAAGAAAUGUCUUGCAGUGCAUUACGGUGUUUGGGUUUUGCAUACAAAGAUGAGCUCCCUGAAUUUGACACAUAUGACGGCAGUGAAGAUCAUCCGGCUCAUGAGCUUUUACUUAAACCAUCUAAUUAUUCAUCAAUUGAGAGCCAACUGAUUUUUGUUGGCUUGGUUGGACUGAGGGAUCCUCCAAGGAAAGAGGUAUACCAAGCCAUUCAAGAUUGUAAACAAGCUGGCAUUCGUGUAAUGGUUAUCACUGGAGAUAACAAGAAUACAGCAG
This 369-nucleotide unclassified non-coding RNA is filed under the name Hevea brasiliensis (rubber tree). Lineage: Eukaryota; Viridiplantae; Streptophyta; Magnoliopsida; Malpighiales; Euphorbiaceae. The record is from RNAcentral.